Molecule: ribosomal RNA, 492 nt
Filed under: uncultured bacterium
Lineage: Bacteria
Description: bacterial SSU rRNA
Rfam family: Bacterial small subunit ribosomal RNA
Source: RNAcentral
AACGAACGCUGGCGGCGCGCCUAAUACAUGCAAGUCGAGCGAGAAGACGUAGCAAUACGUUUGUAAAGCGGCGAACGGGUGAGGAAUACAUGGGUAACCUACCCUCGAGUGGGGAAUAACUAGCCGAAAGGUUAGCUAAUACCGCGUACGCUCCUUGGGCUUCGGUUCAGGGAGGAAAGCGAUACCGUGGGUAUCGCGCUCUUGGAUGGGCUCAUGUCCUAUCAGCUUGUUGGUGAGGAACGGCUCACCAAGGCUUCGACGGGUAGCUGGUCUGAGAGGACGAUCAGCCACACUGGCACUGCGACACGGGCCAGACUCCUACGGGAGCAGCAGUAAGGAAUAUUGCGCAAUGGGCAAAGCCUGACGCAGCGACGCCGCGUGGGGGAUGAAGGUCUUCGGAUUGUAAACCCCUUUCGGGAGGGAAGAUGGAACGAGCAAUCGUUCGGACGGUACCUCCAGAAGCAGCCACGGCUAACUUCGUGCCAGCCGCCG